RNAcentral lists this ribosomal RNA (469 nucleotides) under uncultured bacterium. RNAcentral describes it as "bacterial SSU rRNA". It matches the Rfam family "Bacterial small subunit ribosomal RNA", at positions 335 to 793 of the family's 1533-position model. The record is from RNAcentral.
ACUCCUACGGGAGGCAGCAGUGGGGAAUAUUGCACAAUGGGGGAAACCCUGAGUGCAGCCAUGCCGCGUGUGUGAAGAAGGCCUUCGGGUUGUAAAGCACUUUCAGUAGGGAGGAACGGUAGUGUAGUUAACACCUGCAUUAUUUGACGUUACCUACAGAAGAAGCACCGGCUAACUCCGUGCCAGCAGCCGCGGUAAUACGGAGGGUGCGAGCGUUAAUCGGAAUUACUGGGCGUAAAGCGCAUGCAGGCGGCCUGUUAAGUCAGAUGUGAAAGCCCGGGGCUUAACCUCGGAAUUGCAUUUGAAACUGGCAGGCUAGAGUCUUGUAGAGGGGGUAGAAUUUCAGGUGUAGCGGUGAAAAUGCGUAGAGAUCUGAAGGAAUACCAGUGGCGAAGGCGGCCCCCUGGACAAAGACUGACGCUCAGAUGCGAAAGCGUCGGGGAGCAAACAGGAUUAGAUACCCUGGUAG